Molecule: long non-coding RNA, 1330 nt
Organism: Monodelphis domestica (gray short-tailed opossum)
Lineage: Eukaryota; Metazoa; Chordata; Mammalia; Didelphimorphia; Didelphidae
Source: Ensembl
AUGAGCGAGACCCAGCUCAAAUGUUCAUAUGGGUUAUUUGUGCCCAACCUAUGGGAGACAGAGACUUCUGAGUUCACAUUGGUCUCAUCAGCCACAGUAGACCACAACACAGCAAUGUCAUUUUGGUCUUCUUUAAGUAUGAAAGACAACCAACCAAUCUUCUUUCUUUCUUUCUUUCUUUCUUUCUUUCUUUCUUUCUUUCUUUCUUUCUUUCCUGUACCUAGCUUUGUAUCUGGCAGCUUCACUCCCUAUCAUCCAGAUUUUCUCUUUCAUGCAACAGUAGUCUUCUUGUCCUGGAAGUUCACUUCACCCCUGGACUUUUCUCACUGAAAAUACUCUCCACUUCUGAAAGCCCCUUCUCCUAAUGGCCUUGUUCCUCCAAGAAACUCCAUUUUGAGGAAAAUAUUCAGACCACUCAUGUCUAUUCCUCUCCAAUCUUCACUUCUGAAUCUCUUAACUAUUGUAUUGUUGUUGUUCAAUUGUGUCCAAUCCUAUGAAACUCCCAUGGACUUUUGUCAAUGGAGUUUUCUUAACAGAAUUAAUAGAUUGCUUUUCCAUUUCUUUCUCCAGACCAUUUUAUAGAUGAAGAACUAAGGCAAACAGGGUUAAGUGGCUUAUCCAGGGUCACACAGAAAGUAAGCAUCAAGGUCAGAUUUGAACUCAGGAAGAUGUCUCCCUGAUUCCAAGCCCAUUGUUUUAUCUACUGUGCCACCUGGUUGCCUGUACUUGGCACACAGGAAAUGUUUAAAAAAUACUUGCUUAGACUUAAAUUUGCUUAAUGAAAUGCUUGUUGACUUUAAUGAUCCCAAGCUUCCUGUAGAAACAAAGAUCCACCUUCUUCAUAACAUUUUGUAAACCCUUACCCUCCAUCUUAGAAUCAAUAGUAAAUUUUGGUUCCAAGGCAGAAAAGCAGCAAAGGCUAGGCAAUAGGAAUGCCUUUCUCAUGGUCCCAAACCUAGAAAGUGUCUGAGGUCAGAUUUGAACUUGGGACCUCCUAUCUCCAGGCCUGACUCUAUCCACUACCCCAUUAUAACAUCAACAUUUUACCAAUGUUUCAAUGUGGCAAAAAGACAACAGCCUCCAAAGAAUUUAAAUGAAUAUUGCACAGGGUCUGUGGAGAGGUGUAUGGUAGAUGUAAGCAGACCACAAUAUAUAACCAAGGAACAUUUAAAUACAGGUAAAUAAGGAGUGUUAAAAUGCAGAAUGAGUUUUGGUUGGCUAGGAAAGUUUAGGACAAUCAGAUGGAUUUGGGGAGUUUUUAUAAGCAAUGUUAGGGAAAAGAAGAUCAAAUAAGCAAGAAGACUGCAGCUCAGAGUGGGUGGGAGGCAAC